This 207-nucleotide ribosomal RNA is filed under the name Harposporium sp. RNAcentral describes it as "partial large subunit ribosomal RNA". Lineage: Eukaryota; Fungi; Ascomycota; Sordariomycetes; Hypocreales; Ophiocordycipitaceae. The record is from RNAcentral.
AAGCGCUUGUGACCAGACUCGGGCGCGGCGAAUCACCCGGCGUUCUCGCCGGUGCACUUCGCCGGGCCCGGGCCAGCAUCAGUCCGCCGCGGGGGACAAAGGCGGCGGGAACGUGGCUCCCCCGGGAGUGUUACAGCCCGCCGCGCAAUGCCCUGGGGCGGACUGAGGUUCGCGCUCCGCAAGGAUGCUGGCGUAAUGGUCACCAGC